Molecule: long non-coding RNA, 580 nt
Organism: Raphanus sativus (radish)
Lineage: Eukaryota; Viridiplantae; Streptophyta; Magnoliopsida; Brassicales; Brassicaceae
Exons: 2
Source: RefSeq, a predicted model, not a curated record
CCUUAGGUCACGGUCUGGAGAGAUGGGAUAUAUCACAAUCAUAUUCUCAUGAAAAAGGGACUAAAGAGAACAUCCAGUUUUGGUCUGACAAAGAAGGUUUUGUCUGUUUUUCACUCUUUACUUCUUUUUUUUCUUCUUAUUUGUUAAUAAAUAUUUUUUUUGUUAAAUCAAUUAUUUUUCAGUAUUCACAGCAAUUGAGUUCGACCCUAAAACUACUGCUGGAUGUAUCACGGAGUUUGCAUCUCUGAAUUUAAAGUAAACAAAAUAAAGAAGAAUCUCAAUAAAGAAAGAGAAGUAUCAUGAAGAGUGGAGCAAGCGCACAACUUAUUUGAGGAAUGACAGGAAGUGAGUGCAUAUGAACCUUAUAAAGUGAAGUAACAAAAAACAACAUUUUGCACAGUACAAAUUAAAAACUCGGCGGAUUUAAGACCGCCCACGAGGGCGAGGCCACGAGCAUGUCAUAUCUUUCUCUUUUUUGUAACUUAAGCAUGUCAUAUCUUUUCAAAUGUAAACGCGUUUUGUACAUACUAUUGAGAAUACUAAACUAAUAAUCAUUCCAUGCAGUACUGUAAUUCUAUAA